UGGGGAAUAUUGCACAAUGGGCGCAAGCCUGAUGCAGCGACGCCGCGUGAGGGAUGACGGCCUUCGGGUUGUAAACCUCUGUUAGCAUCGAAGAAGCGAAAGUGACGGUAGGUGCAGAGAAAGCGCCGGCUAACUACGUGCCAGCAGCCGCGGUAAUACGUAGGGCGCGAGCGUUGUCCGGAAUUAUUGGGCGUAAAGAGCUUGUAGGCGGUUGGUCGCGUCUGCUGUGAAAGGCCGGGGCUUAACUCCGGUUUUGCAGUGGGUACGGGCUAACUAGAGUGCAGUAGGGGAGACUGGAAUUCCUGGUGUAGCGGUGGAAUGCACAGAUAUCAGGAGGAACACCGAUGGCGAAGGCAGGUCUCUGGGCUGUAACUGACGCUGAGAAGCGAAAGCAUGGGGAGCGAACAGGAUUAGAUACCCUGGUAGUCCAUGCCGUAAACGUUGGGCACUAGGUGUGGGGGACAUUCCACGUUUUCCGCGCCGUAGCUAACGCAUUAAGUGCCCCGCCUGGGGAGUACGGCCGCAAGGUUA
This 531-nucleotide ribosomal RNA is filed under the name uncultured bacterium. RNAcentral describes it as "bacterial SSU rRNA". It matches the Rfam family "Bacterial small subunit ribosomal RNA", at positions 355 to 896 of the family's 1533-position model. The record is from RNAcentral.